Small nuclear RNA from Saimiri boliviensis boliviensis (Bolivian squirrel monkey), 164 nucleotides. Its record names the gene U1. It matches the Rfam family "U1 spliceosomal RNA". From Rfam's summary of the family: U1 is a small nuclear RNA (snRNA) component of the spliceosome (involved in pre-mRNA splicing). Its 5' end forms complementary base pairs with the 5' splice junction, thus defining the 5' donor site of an intron. Lineage: Eukaryota; Metazoa; Chordata; Mammalia; Primates; Cebidae. The record is from Ensembl.
AUACUUACCUGGCAGGGGAGAUACCGUGAUCACGAAGGUGAUUUUCUGAGGGUGAGACUUAUCCAUUGCACUCUGGGUGUGCUGACCCCUGUGUUUUCCCCAAACGUGGGAAACUGGACUGCAUAAUUUAUGAUAGUGGGGGACUGUGUUCACACUUCCCCCUG